This 253-nucleotide ribosomal RNA is filed under the name uncultured bacterium. RNAcentral's name for it is "partial 16S ribosomal RNA". It matches the Rfam family "Bacterial small subunit ribosomal RNA", at positions 524 to 776 of the family's 1533-position model. The record is from RNAcentral.
UACAGAGGUCUCAAGCGUUGUUCGGAUUCAUUGGGCGUAAAGGGUGCGUAGGUGGCCAGGUAAGUUUGAUGUGAAAGCUCGGAGCUUAACUCCGAAAUGGCAUUGAAUACUAUCUGGCUUGAGGGUCGGAGGGGAGACUGGAAUUCUCGGUGUAGCAGUGAAAUGCGUAGAUAUCGAGAGGAACACCAGUGGCGAAGGCGGCUUUCUGGUCUGUAACUGACGCUGAGGCGCGAAAGCGUGGGGAGCAAACAGG